UCCCCUGUCAGUGCGGUAAACACAGCCACCAAGGGCUGCAGCCCACAACACAUUCACAGCUCUGCAGGCCCUCGGGGCCAUUCCUCCCGAUUAACUGAUCACCUUUCUUCUGUCCUGGUUCUUCUAGCUCCCCAACAGCAGAGCAUCGGCUCUCACUGCCAUCUGGCUCAGCUCAGGAGGACCAAAGUCCACCUAUGCCUGGAAGGCUGCCUGCCUAACUGCGUCUUCCCAGGACACCUAGUCACCGGGAUACACGGCAUCCCAAUUUAAAAACGAUGGAAGCAAGACCCAGAGUGUCUGGACGUUGCAUAACACAGUAAACUGUCUCUGCGGUCUUGCAUCUGAGCCGCUGCACCAGGUCUGUUGCUAUCCCUUCAUCCAGACCAUCUCUACUGCACAGUGGCAGGUGUCCUGCUCAGCCAGCAGCUGAGCCCCAAGGACGCUUGUCCUUUGCAGCCAUGUCAUAGUGGCAGUUAGACUCCAUGAUAUGCUCUGACCCUGCGGAAAACACCCGGGGCAGGAUGCCCUCUUUGAGUGCUGACUGGAGGUGCAGAAAAACAGCUUCUCCAAUUUCCUCACCUGGAGCACCUGGAGCCUGUGCAGGAAACCCCGGACCAUCCAUGAAUCUGUCCUAGGAUGUGUCACAGACCCCCUAGGUCUUGGUGAAGCCCUUGCCCAUGUGCUCCAGAGGGGUGUCUUACUCACAGGGCUUGACGUCUUCACUAAAGAAGUCCUCUCGUCCAACUGUGUGAUACAUAGCACUCAAUUCUGCCAUCCCUGUUCCUUGAACCACCCAGGUGCACAUGAGAUAUAACUUGCCCCGCAUCCUCCAAGGGCCCUGGUCCAGCAUUCUCUGGUAACAGCACUCAACAGGUUCUCACAUACGACCCACAAGAAGGGUGUACCUUACUCAACAUGGAGAACCCCAAUAAACUCAGAUCGCUUGAGCCUAGUGUUCACCCAGCAAUCAGUGUCACUGGCUGCUGCCUCUGCCCCAACUUCUUGGUCAAAGCACCUGUCACCAGAUGGCUUCACACCAAGGUCAAUGGCAGGGUCUACAGUGCCCAAACAUGCCAGUGCCCAAGUUAUGACCGUUCCUGUUUGUGACGCUGUCCACAUGUCCCCCAAAAUCUGCUGGUGUGUGUGAUCCCGUGAGGAAAGAGGAGGUGACAGGAACGGAAAGGUACCUGCCAUACAGUGUUCCCUGUGAGGCAUGCGUUGCAAGAAUCACCGUUGCAAUUUGACAGUGGAGGAAGCUGAAUUAGUGACCUGUGCGGGACCACAUGGACAGUGAGAGGCAGGACUUCAGGCCUCAGUAAUAUUUUACAGUCCAGAACUUUGGAUGCCCUGAGCCUCGGGGAGCAGAGGAGGCACCGGAGAGGUGGAGGCAGAGCAGUGAACUGUGUUGUUCCACAGUCACAUCUGUUGUGUCAAAUUUGAUCUCUGUUCGCACUCACGAAUGCGUGUGAGAUGAAGAUGAGGAGCCAGGGCUCUCUCGCUGCACGCAGGACUCCAGGCCAGCACCGUGGUUCUGAUGCUGAAAUGUACAUCCCAGCCUCCACCAUGGACUGAUCUAAUACCUGGUACUCCAUAAGUACUCAAUAACAGUCUUCAGAAUGAAAGAACACACGUCGUACUCAG
Molecule: long non-coding RNA, 1641 nt
Organism: Alexandromys fortis (reed vole)
Lineage: Eukaryota; Metazoa; Chordata; Mammalia; Rodentia; Cricetidae
Exons: 7
Source: RefSeq, a predicted model, not a curated record